AAAUUAUGAAGAAAGAAUGACAAGAUCAUGCUACAAAGGUGGUUUUCUCAUGACAAGGCUUAUCAAUUACACUUCUGAUGUGCAGAUGUAUUCAGUUUCCCCAAAUGUGGGAAACUUGCCUGUAUAAUUCAGGAUAGUAGGAGACUGAGUACACGCUUUCCUU
RNAcentral lists this small nuclear RNA (163 nucleotides) under Microtus ochrogaster (prairie vole). RNAcentral describes it as "U1 spliceosomal RNA (ENSMOCG00000003350.1)". It matches the Rfam family "U1 spliceosomal RNA". From Rfam's summary of the family: U1 is a small nuclear RNA (snRNA) component of the spliceosome (involved in pre-mRNA splicing). Its 5' end forms complementary base pairs with the 5' splice junction, thus defining the 5' donor site of an intron. Lineage: Eukaryota; Metazoa; Chordata; Mammalia; Rodentia; Cricetidae. The record is from RNAcentral.